This 308-nucleotide ribosomal RNA is filed under the name uncultured eukaryote. Its description in RNAcentral is "SSU rRNA". It matches the Rfam family "Eukaryotic small subunit ribosomal RNA", at positions 111 to 414 of the family's 1831-position model. The record is from RNAcentral.
AAUAAUUUAUUUGAUGGUUUCUUACUACAUGGAUAACUGUAGUAAUUCUAGAGCUAAUACAUGCGUAAAGUCCCGACUCUUGCGGGGAGGGAUGUAUUUAUUAGAUAAAAAACCAAUGCGGGCUCUGCCCGGUUUUGUGGUGAAUCAUAGUAACUUUUCGAAUCGCAUGGCUUCACGCCGGCGAUAGUUCAUUCAAAUUUCUGCCCUAUCAGCUUUCGACGGUAGUGUAGUGGACUACCGUGGCGUUAACUGGUAACGGAGAAUUAGGGUUCGAUUCCGGAGAGGGAGCCUGAGAAACGGCUACCACA